Papaver somniferum (opium poppy) is the source of this 1558-nucleotide long non-coding RNA. RefSeq lists it as uncharacterized. The record is from RefSeq and is a predicted model, not a curated record. The transcript has 4 exons. NCBI's taxonomy places the organism in Eukaryota, Viridiplantae, Streptophyta, Magnoliopsida, Ranunculales, Papaveraceae.
UUCGUACAGAACUUUCAUUCUCUGUCAUCCAUACCAUCUCUCUAAAUUCUUCACAGUUUAGAGAAGAACCAGGAGAAACCCUAAUCUCAAUUUUCGAUCUUCAUCGAUUUACUUAAAAUUGUCAUUAGUAACUUCUUAAUUUCUUUAGUUAAGAACUUAGAGUCUUCGCAUAACAAAUGUCAAAGUAAGCGGAGAUCUCAACCCUCUAUCAGGAUCGGAGGAGGAUUGUUAGUUGUGGUAAGGGGAGUUUCAAAAAGCCUUAUGAUGAGAAGCCACAAAAAAAAUUCGAGAAGUACCAGCGGAGUAGGCCUCUGAUUCUAUCAAUGCUAACGAGGCUGUAUUGGAGGAAGGAGCACUAGAAGUGGACUGCAUAGAUUCCGAGAACUUGAAUAAUCUGGAGAUGUGAACAUAAGUGUCAAUGUAUAAGACAGCAUUAGGAGGGUUGGGCUCCAAAUAUUGGAUUUUGGUAUGUAAGGCUCUCGAUGAUAUGUGGCGCCUAUCAAUAUUACAUUACCAACCUAGGCUCAACAGGUUGUAAGCCUUUCUUUUAUAUGAAGAUAUGAAUAUGACUGUCAGAGAAACCUUUAGUUUGUUAUUCUUUAUAUGAGAUUUAGUGGUUAAUUCGGUUCUUCUUAUGAUUAUAUAUGUAGAUGUAGUGUUGGGUAAUCCUUGAAAAUCCAAGAAGUGCUGUCCGCUAAACUGUGAUUAUGACAAUUGAAGGAAUUUUGAAAUAGUUCUAUGGUGAUCUUUUUCUUUUUGAUCUUCAAACGGCCCUUUGCUUCAAAAUGUAUCUCCCUUUGCUUCAAAAUGUAUCUCAAUUUUCAGUACCGAACUGUUCUUUUUGCUGGUAGAAGUGUUCUAAUACUGUCAAAUUAUAUUAGCUAUUAAACUUUAUGCAGUCCGGGUUCAGCUUUUACAGCUUCUUCUCAAGUUACAGGAGAAAAGAUUUGUAUGCCAAGUUUCAGAGAGAUUUGGUAGCGAUGCUUGGUUGUGUACCCCUAUUUGUUUCUACCGAAGUGGCAGCCAUAUCUUUAGCAAAACAGUUCUCAGAUACGAGCUAAAGCGUCCAUGUGCUGGAGAGGGCCUGAGGCCUGAGAUAAUAUCUGCAGUUCAACUCAAUGACCUGCUUCUAUUGUCUAGAGAGAGUGUUCGCAUCCUGAUUUUGGAACUUCAAACUAUAUGGGAGUAAUCCCAUGUCCCUCCAUCAGCUGUAGUACAUGUUGAAAAAACAAAUAUGGUGAUUUGGGAGCGCUUGUGAAUUGAAACUGUCUCCUUCAAGUGCGGAAGCUGUCCGUUCUGUCACCAGGAUGGCGAAAACAACUAUGGUUUCUAACACCAGCUUCAGUUUGUUGGUCCUAACUUUUCUCGUUUGCACAAUUUGCAUUCGACUAGGAUCAUAUUUUUGUCUUUUCCUCAUUUUGGUUAGGUUGGCUAGCAAUAAAUAGUCUCUGUAAAAGCAGCAAUAAAUUGUCUCUGUGAAACCCCUACGUAAAUUGUACAUCUGUAACUCUGUACAGCCUAUGCUUACUCCUUCCAUUUGGGCAUGGUUUUCCCGCAG